CUUGGCGACCAUAGUGUUUUGGACCCACCUGAAUCCAUUCCGAACUCAGAAGUGAAACGAAAUAGCGUCGAUGGUAGUGUGGGGUUUCCCCAUGUGAGAGUAGAACAUCGCCAGGC
This 116-nucleotide ribosomal RNA is filed under the name Vibrio vulnificus. The record is from RNAcentral. Lineage: Bacteria; Pseudomonadati; Pseudomonadota; Gammaproteobacteria; Vibrionales; Vibrionaceae.